UACGAAGGGAGCUGGCGUUGUUCGGAAUCACUGGGCGUAAAGCGCACGUAGGCGGAUGUGUCAGUCAGGGGUGAAAUCCCGGAGCUCAACUUCGGAACUGCCUCUGAUACAGCACGUCUUGAGUCCGAUAGAGGUGGGUGGAAUUCCUAGUGUAGAGGUGAAAUCCGUAGAUAUUAGGAAGAACACCGGUGGCGAAGGCGGCCCACUGGUCCGGUACUGACGCUGAGGUGCGAAAGCGUGGGGAGCAAACAGG
RNAcentral lists this ribosomal RNA (253 nucleotides) under uncultured bacterium. RNAcentral's name for it is "partial 16S ribosomal RNA". It matches the Rfam family "Bacterial small subunit ribosomal RNA", at positions 524 to 776 of the family's 1533-position model. The record is from RNAcentral.